GCCCGCUUGGCUAAGUGGUAUAGCGUGUCACUAGUACUCCUAGCUGUCAUGACAAGAUCAGCGGUUCGAUUCCGCUAGUGGGCA
This is a non-coding RNA of Nemania abortiva, 84 nucleotides long. The record is from the annotation of a GenBank genome assembly. Lineage: Eukaryota; Fungi; Ascomycota; Sordariomycetes; Xylariales; Xylariaceae.